This 1668-nucleotide ribosomal RNA is filed under the name Notolychnus valdiviae. RNAcentral describes it as "16S rRNA". It matches the Rfam family "Bacterial large subunit ribosomal RNA", at positions 386 to 2835 of the family's 2925-position model. Lineage: Eukaryota; Metazoa; Chordata; Actinopteri; Myctophiformes; Myctophidae. The record is from RNAcentral.
UUCUAAAAAGCUAGCCCACCCCCUAAGAAAUCAACCCCCUUUAAACUUAACUCCCACAAAACAAUAAACAAACCAUUUUCCCUCCCUAGUACAUGGGCGACAAAAAAGGAUACCGUGAGCGAUAGAAAAAGUACCGUAAGGGAAAGCUGAAAGAGAAAUGAAACAACUACCCCCAGCUAAGAAAAGCAGAGAUAACCCCUCGUACCUUUUGCAUCAUGAUUUAGCCAGUAUGCCUGAGCACAGGGAACUUUAGUUCAGCCCCCCGAUACUAGACGAGCUACUUCAAGAUAGCCUAUGUUGGGCAAACCCGUCUCUGUCGCAAAAGAGUGGGACAAUCUUCAAGUAGAGGUGACAAACCUAUCGAGCCUAGUUAUAGCUGGUUGUCUGAGAAAUGAAUAUGAGUUCAGCCUCCCGACCCCCCUUAUCCAAGACAUCCGUCUCCUAAGAACAAGGGCGACCGAGAGAGUUAGUCAAAGAGGGUACAGCCCCUUUGAAAAAGGACACAACCUCCCUGGGAGAUAAAAGAUCACAGUAACUUAAGGAAACUUGUACUAGUGGGCCUAAAAGCAGCCACCUAAAGAAAGCGUUAAAGCUCAUACAAACACCGACCACUAAUACCGAACGAUUCUCUUCACUCCCCCCACACUAUCAGACCCUCCCACAAACCAUGGGAAAGACCCUGCUAAAAUGAGUAAUAAGAGCGAACUGCCGCCUCUCCACCGCAUACGUGUACCUCGGAACGGACCCACCGCCGACAAUUAACGAACCCCCACCCGAGGGGCAUGUAAUACUACCCAGAUAACAGGAAAACCAAACACACAACACCGUUAACUCAACACAGACAUGCAUGCCAGGAAAGACUUAAACAAAGGGAAGGAACUCGGCAAACAUAAGUCUCGCCUGUUUACCAAAAACAUCGCCUCUUGCAAAACGAACGAAUAAGAGGUCCCGCCUGCCCAGUGACAUUAGUUUAACGGCCGCGGUAUUUUGACCGUGCAAAGGUAGCGCAAUCACUUGUCUUUUAAAUGAAGACCGGUAUGAAUGGCAUCACGAGGACUUGACUGUCUCCCCUUUAAAGUCAAUGAAAUUGAUCUCCCCGUGCAGAAGCGGGGAUACACCCGUAAGACGAGAAGACCCUAUGGAGCUUAAGACAUAAAGUGACCCCCGUCAAACACCCCCUAAAAGGAAGAAAACUUGGAGGGACUCACCGAAAUGUCUUCGGUUGGGGCGACCGCGGGGAAAGACAAAACCCCCGCAUGGACUAAAGCUACCCUUGCUUUAAAACCUAGACCCACCUGUCAAAUUAACAGUACUUCUGACCACUAAGGACCCGGCCUACGCCGACCAAUGGACCGAGUUACCCUAGGGAUAACAGCGCAAUCUCCUACCCGAGCCCUUAUCGAAUAGGGGGUUUACGACCUCGAUGUUGGAUCAGGACAUCCUAAUGGUGCAGCCGCUAUUAAGGGUUCGUUUGUUCAACGAUUAAUAGUCCUACGUGAUCUGAGUUCAGACCGGAGUAAUCCAGGUCAGUUUCUACCUACGUCUUGAUCUUUUCUAGUACGAAAGGACCGAAAAGAGGAGGCCCCUGUCAAAAACACGCCUCACCCCUCACUAUUGAAUCCAAAUAAAAUAGGAAGGGACCAAAAUCCUUUACCCUAAAUCAGGGUU